GGAGAGGUGGCCGAGUGGCUAAAGGCGGUAGUCUUGAAAACUACUGAGGGUUAACGCCCUCCGGGGGUUCGAAUCCCUCCCUCUCCGCCA
Molecule: transfer RNA, 90 nt
Filed under: Thermodesulfobacteriota bacterium
Lineage: Bacteria; Pseudomonadati; Thermodesulfobacteriota
Also listed under: 1 other name
Description: tRNA-Ser
Rfam family: tRNA
About the family: Transfer RNA (tRNA) molecules are approximately 80 nucleotides in length. Their secondary structure includes four short double-helical elements and three loops (D, anti-codon, and T loops).
Source: RNAcentral